GACGAACGCUGGCGGCGUGCUUAACACAUGCAAGUCGAACGGUAAGGCCCUUCGGGGUACACGAGUGGCGAACGGGUGAGUAACACGUGGGUGAUCUGCCCUGCACUUCGGGAUAAGCCUGGGAAACUGGGUCUAAUACCGGAUAGGACCACUGCCUGCAUGGGUGGUGGUGGAAAGCUUUUGCGGGGUGGGAUGGGCCCGCGGCCUAUCAGGUUGUUGGUGGGGUGAUGGCCUACCAAGGCGACGACGGGUAGCCGGCCUGAGAGGGUGACCGGCCACACUGGGACGGAGAGACGGCCCAGACUCCUACGGGAGGCAGCAGUGGGGAAUAUUGCACAAUGGGCGCAAGCCUGAUGCAGCGACGCCGCGUGAGGGAUGACGGCCUUCGGGUUGUAAACCUCUUUCAGCACCGACGAAGCGCAAGUGACGGUAGGUGCAGAAGAAGGACCGGCCAACUACGUGCCAGCCGCCGCCGUAA
Molecule: ribosomal RNA, 478 nt
Filed under: uncultured bacterium
Lineage: Bacteria
Description: partial 16S ribosomal RNA
Rfam family: Bacterial small subunit ribosomal RNA
Source: RNAcentral